Molecule: long non-coding RNA, 180 nt
Organism: Melanotaenia boesemani (Boeseman's rainbowfish)
Lineage: Eukaryota; Metazoa; Chordata; Actinopteri; Atheriniformes; Melanotaeniidae
Exons: 3
Source: RefSeq, a predicted model, not a curated record
CAGUGGACGUCCUACUGCAGAGGGAAUAUGUGGAGGAAGCUCAUCUGACCCAACCAGCCCCCAGGACACAAGGGCCUACAUAAGAGUUGCAGAUGGUGUAAUCUGUCUGGUGGAGCCCUCUGCCAUAACAGACCUCCAUGUAGCUGAGGAUGCAGACGCCUUGUCAGCUGCCACAGAGCG